This is a long non-coding RNA of Polypterus senegalus (gray bichir), 930 nucleotides long. RefSeq lists it as uncharacterized. NCBI's taxonomy places the organism in Eukaryota, Metazoa, Chordata, Cladistia, Polypteriformes, Polypteridae. The transcript is spliced from 4 exons. The record is from RefSeq and is a predicted model, not a curated record.
AAGAUGGAGCAAGUACCCAUGGCACAAGAAGAAUCAGAAUUUAGACCAGAAAUCCCAGGUGAAGCACAUGCAGAAAUAAAUUAUCAGUUUUAUAGACAAUUGCUUUACCUGACUUAUUUAAUAGAGAGCACUGACAGCAUUGUCUCAGGAGCCACAUGUAGAUAAACACAAGUGAACCUCAAGCAGAAGUAGAUUGACAGAUUUUGAUUGGUAAUAUUGAGAACCUUCUUGGAAGUGCAGAAUAUGAAAGUAGCACAUUAGAGAUUAAAGUAUUUCAACUGGAUGAAAAAUGAUCCCAUCUUGACAGAUGACAGAAGUAAUUUUUAUUCAGAGUAAUUCCGUCACCUUCAUGCAUAGUCAACAAUCAGUUAAGCCUCAAAUUCAGUAAAACAAAACCCUUUCACAUAAUUGUGAUGUUUGAAGGUCCUUACUCCAGCUCCAGCACUUUCUCUUAAGAAUCAGUCCCUUGAAAAUUCAAGGUCUCAAAUAUGUAUUUUCCAGCCAGACAUCCUCUUUUAUUUCCCUCUUAUACACUCAGAAAUUUCUGUUGCUCUCAUGUUUUGUUUAGCCACUUAAAAUUCAUACUAUUUUAUUCCACAGUUAAUUGUUUCACUUUCUUUAUAAAAACAUACUGUAUUCUAUGAGGUUUUUCAGAGCUUGAAGGAUUAAUAGAGGAAGAAAUCAUUAUCGAAAUAAAUAGGGAAACAAUAUUGAAUGACAAGCAGUGAAUUUAUAGAAGAGCAGAACUCCUCAACAAAAAGCUUCAAGUAUGUUUUAUUGAAAAAGGACAUGAUUUUGGUGGAUUAACCAGGGAUCUUUUUUCUUGUUUUUGGAUCUGUGCCUUCUCUGAGUGGUUUAAGGAUGAGGAUGUUCUUGUACCUUGUAUACCUCUCUAUCAGUAUCAUAAAGCACAAUAAAUCUUUACAGUUU